RNAcentral lists this ribosomal RNA (496 nucleotides) under uncultured bacterium. RNAcentral's name for it is "partial 16S ribosomal RNA". It matches the Rfam family "Bacterial small subunit ribosomal RNA", at positions 28 to 506 of the family's 1533-position model. The record is from RNAcentral.
GACGAACGCUGGCGGCGUGCCUAAUACAUGCAAGUUGAGCGCUGAAGGUUGGUACUUGUACCAACUGGAUGAGCAGCGAACGGGUGAGUAACGCGUGGGGAAUCUGCCUUUGAGCGGGGGACAACAUUUGGAAACGAAUGCUAAUACCGCAUAAAAACUUUAAACACAAGUUUUAAGUUUGAAAGAUGCAAUUGCAUCACUCAAAGAUGAUCCCGCGUUGUAUUAGCUAGUUGGUGAGGUAAAGGCUCACCAAGGCGAUGAUACAUAGCCGACCUGAGAGGGUGAUCGGCCACAUCGGGACUGAGACACGGCCCAAACUCCUACGGGAGGCAGCAGUAGGGAAUCUUCGGCAAUGGACGAAAGUCUGACCGAGCAACGCCGCGUGAGUGAAGAAGGUUUUCGGAUCGUAAAACUCUGUUGGUAGAGAAGAACGUUGGUGAGAGUGGAAAGCUCAUCAAGUGACGGUAACUACCCAGAAAGGGACGGCUAACUACGU